UAGGGAAUCUUCGGCAAUGGACGGAAGUCUGACCGAGCAACGCCGCGUGAGUGAAGAAGGUUUUCGGAUCGUAAAGCUCUGUUGUUAGAGAAGAACGUUGGUAGGAGUGGAAAAUCUACCAAGUGACGGUAACUAACCAGAAAGGGACGGCUAACUACGUGCCAGCAGCCGCGGUAAUACGUAGGUCCCGAGCGUUGUCCGGAUUUAUUGGGCGUAAAGCGAGCGCAGGCGGUUCUUUAAGUCUGAAGUUAAAGGCAGUGGCUUAACCAUUGUACGCUUUGGAAACUGGAGGACUUGAGUGCAGAAGGGGGGAGUGGAAUUCCAUGUGUAACGGUGAAAUGCGUAGAUAUAUGGAGGAACACCGGUGGCGAGAGCGGCUCUCUAGUCUGUAACUGACGCUGAGGCUCGAAAGCGUGGGGAGCAAACAGG
RNAcentral lists this ribosomal RNA (429 nucleotides) under Bacillota bacterium. RNAcentral's name for it is "Firmicutes bacterium partial 16S ribosomal RNA". It matches the Rfam family "Bacterial small subunit ribosomal RNA", at positions 355 to 776 of the family's 1533-position model. Lineage: Bacteria; Bacillati; Bacillota. The record is from RNAcentral.